UAAGGAAUAUUGGACAAUGGACGCAAGUCUGAUCCAGCCAUGCCGCGUGAAGGAUGACUGCCCUCUGGGUUGUAAACUUCUUUUAUAGGGGAAGAAAGUUAUUUUUUAGGAUAUUUGACGGUACCCUAUGAAUAAGCACCGGCUAACUCCGUGCCAGCAGCCGCGGUAAUACGGAGGGUGCAAGCGUUAUCCGGAUUCACUGGGUUUAAAGGGUGCGUAGGCGGGUAUGUAAGUCAGUGGUGAAAUACCGGAGCUUAACUUCGGAACUGCCAUUGAUACUAUAUAUCUUGAAUAUUGUGGAGGUAAGCGGAAUAUGUCAUGUAGCGGUGAAAUGCUUAGAGAUGACAUAGAACACCGAUUGCGAAGGCAGCUUGCUACGCAAAUAUUGACGCUGAGGCACGAAAGCGUGGGGAUCAAACAGGAUUAGAUACCCUGGUAGUCCACGCCCUAAACGAUGAUUACUCGACAUUAGCGAUACACAGUUAGUGUCUGAGCGAAAGCAUUAAGUAAUCCACCUGGGAAGUACGACCGCAAGGUUGAAACUCAAAGGAAUUGACGGGGUCAUAGCUGUUUCCU
RNAcentral lists this ribosomal RNA (576 nucleotides) under uncultured bacterium. RNAcentral describes it as "partial 16S ribosomal RNA". It matches the Rfam family "Bacterial small subunit ribosomal RNA", at positions 355 to 1375 of the family's 1533-position model. The record is from RNAcentral.